RNAcentral lists this long non-coding RNA (481 nucleotides) under Cyanistes caeruleus (blue tit). RNAcentral's name for it is "lncRNA (ENSCCEG00000000258.1)". Lineage: Eukaryota; Metazoa; Chordata; Aves; Passeriformes; Paridae. The record is from RNAcentral.
AGAAGGAACAAUCCAGAGGGCCAUUAGUAAGGCUAAAACAAGGUUGAAAGAGGUGUGACUAUACAGUGCUUAAUCAGACCUGGUUUAAUCUGGAAUGCUGCUUGCCCAUCCCACUGUGUACUGAUGCAAUGGACCUUCCAGUCUAUUACUUCACAGUGGAGUAUUUGCUUGGAAGCCUGGAAACUUGGAUUUAAGGAUGAUCAGCACAGUGAUCUGGUACAGUUAUUUUAAACCUUUAAAAGAAGAGGAUGUCACUUCGGUGCAGAAAUUUCCUGUGAUGGGAACAGUGAUGUACUUGGAAUUAUUUUGUAAACUGGAGUCAGUAGGACAGAACAGAAUGCUGACCUAUUAUGUAGUUAGCUACUGCCUGUAAGCUUUCACACAUUCACUUUGGGGUCCUACAAUAAGGUAGAUUAAGUUUGAGGUUUUUUUUUCAUUGGUUGUUUGGGGUUUUUUUGUUAAAUCUGUGAGUGAAAAAAUU